Molecule: ribosomal RNA, 455 nt
Filed under: uncultured bacterium
Lineage: Bacteria
Description: bacterial SSU rRNA
Rfam family: Bacterial small subunit ribosomal RNA
Source: RNAcentral
ACUCCGUACGGGAGGCAGCAGGUGGGGAAUCUUGCGCAAGUGGGCGAAAGCCUGACGCAGCCAUGCCGCGUGAAUGAUGAAGGUCUUAGGAUUGUAAAAUUCUUUCACCGGGGACGAUAAUGACGGUACCCGGAGAAGAAGCCCCGGCUAACUUCGUGCCAGCAGCCGCGGUAAUACGAAGGGGGCUAGCGUUGCUCGGAAUUACUGGGGCGUAAAGGGGAGCGUAGGCGGACAUUUAAAGUCAGGGGUGAAAUCCCGGGGCUCAACCUCGGAAUUGCCUUUGAUACUGGGGUGUCUUGAGUAUGAGAGAGGUGUGUGGAACUCCGAGUGUAGAGGUGAAAUUCGUAGAUAUUCGGAAGAACACCAGUGGCGAAGGCGACACACUGGCUCAUUACUGACGCUGAGGCUCGAAAGCGUGGGGAGCAAACAGGAUUAGAUACCCUGGUAGGAUAGCG